This 228-nucleotide ribosomal RNA is filed under the name uncultured bacterium. RNAcentral's name for it is "partial 16S ribosomal RNA". It matches the Rfam family "Bacterial small subunit ribosomal RNA", at positions 15 to 244 of the family's 1533-position model. The record is from RNAcentral.
GAUCCUGGCUCAGGAUGAACGCUGGCGGCGUGCCUAAUACAUGCAAGUCGAACGCUUCACUUCGGUGAAGAGUGGCGAACGGGUGAGUAAUACAUAAGUAACCUGGCAUCUACAGGGGGGAUAACUGAUGGAAACGUCAGCUAAGACCGCAUAGGUGUAGAGAUCGCAUGAACUCUAUAUGAAAAGUAGUCUACGGGACUGGUAGAUGAUGGACUUAUGGCGCAUUAG